UGACUUGAAGCCUGGCUCUGGAAUACCUUCUGGGCCACCCGGAGCUCCUGCCUCACAGACUGGAUCUGGUUGCGGAGGUCGCUCAUCUUCAGGUGCUAGGUGCUGUGCUAAGUGCUCGCUCAGCAAGGAGCAAGCACUUAAUCCUCACAGACCCUGUGAGGAUUCUGUCAGCCCCUUAGAGAAGCAAAGCAGAGGCUGGUAGAGGGUGAGGCUCCUUGGCUCAGGGUACCUGGUUGGGAAAGGGGGAGCGUGGAUGUGAAUCCUGGCGGCCUGACUCUGGGACCUAAGCCCUUUGCUCCGAGUGUCACACACACACACACACACACAUGGACGCAGGUGGUGACCACAGGGGGAGCUUCUGUCAGAUCUCCGGCGCCAUGAGCCCCACUGGCCCGGCCGGGUGGUGGUGUGGGAGCUGUGAGUGCAUGGGCCCCCCACGUGCCUGCUGUGACCCUGCUCGGACAUUGGGAAGAGCACACAGAAGGGACCUGGAUCUAGAACCCAGGCAGUGACGCCCCUCUCCAAGCCUCACUUCCUCAUCUGUAAAAUGGGGGUAUGUAAUACCAGCUUCCGGGUUCCCGUGAGUAUUGAUUGGAUAACACAGGUAAAGGGAGCUGCCUGGGGCUGAUUCUGACAGAGGGCAUGUGGGGGCAGGGGAGGGGCGAGCCCGGCUUGGAUGGGCAGCUGGCAAAGGGGGCUGAGGGCCAGAUGGUGUUCUGGUCAGGGCUGGGCCCGUGUGCAGGGGCAGCCAUCACCCCCUCUACUCCUCCCCUCAGGCAGCUGGGCCAGCUCUACCGCCCUGCUGUUUCAGAGCUGUUCCUGCCCAGAGUGAAAUUCCACAGGCUUCGUGGGGGACUUGGAUAUGGGCUGUUUUCUUUGAGGGAAUAAACAAAACACAGUCCAUGGGGGAGCAGACAAUACCAGCGUCACUCACACCACCCCUCCUGCAGCCCCACGUGGAGGGAGGGCGGCCCCACUUCGGAAUGAGCUCUGGGGCUCUUGGGGCCAGAAUGUGGGGUGAGCCUGCAGGCCUUUGGAGUGUGGCUGGGGCCACCUGAACAGUCUGAUUGGGCAGACAUCGCUUUGUUCUCUCUCUGAUCAGAAGACGCCCGGGAAGGCGUGUGGCACUGAUGGACUGGGACUUGUAGCCGAUCACCCACUCUUCUAUCGGAAACCUUUCAGCCUCCCUGCAGCCACAGAAGGAAGUUGGAACUCCCACUCCAGCUGCCAUUCAAGGCCUCCCUCCAUGGGUGACCCCCCCCCAGCUUUUUUUUGGCUUACGUUCCCCUUUUCCACCCAACUAGCAAACGGAAUGGGAGUGUUGACUGCUUCCUGGCCUCUGAGGCUCCGCUUGCACCGUUCCUGCUGGAAGGCCCUCCCCUCUGCCCCUUCUCCAGCAAAGCCCACCUCCGGAACCCCACCCCACCCCACUUCCUAGCUGCCUCUGGGAGGGUGUGCUCCCUCUGUGGCCUCUCUCUGAAGGCCCUGUCCCCCUCCUUCCUUCAGCAUGGCUACUCAUCUCCUCUCUUGGAUUCCCCCGUGAACAGAGGCCUGUGUUUGCUUCUCUGUGUCACAGGGCUCAGAAAAUCCCAUCGGGCUCAACAAGUGGCUGGACAAGCAGUGUCCCAUCCAGGACAGCUCUAGUCAGGGACACAGAGGCGCUCCAUGCUCUGGAUAAAGCAGGGGCAGCUGAGCAGUGUCCCUCGGAGCCAGGAAAUGCCCUGAACACUCAGUCCAGCCCCUGCUCUACUGCCUUGCCAGCAAUGAGACAGGUUUACACAAGACCAGCCUCCAGGAGACAUAUCCACCCCUGGAGCCGAGGGGCCCAUCGCUGCACACCGAGGGCUGAGUUCUCCUCAGGACAGGCAUGACCCAGCCUCACCCUAAGCCGUAGACAACAAGGGAGGUGCGGCUGGAAAAGCAGCACUGAACUGGGAGUCCUGAGACCGGGACCCCUGGGUCACCCACUGGUCUGGCUUCCCAAGACUUGGAACUCCACAAAAGGAAGCCUUCUCACAACAUGAACUGCUGGGCUGCAUUGUGCAGUAGUGAGUUCCUGUCCCGGGCGGAAGGUAGAGGCUGGUGUCUCCCCAGUGAGAACGUUCCUUUAUAGCUGGGCUCGGAGCGGGCAAUCAGUUGGACCAGGCCUUCCCUGCUGGUCUUGAAAUUCUAGGGUCCCAGGGUCCUCAGGACCCCCUGACCUCCCUCCCUCCCUGAGGACUGGUCCUCAGAGUUAGACCCUCACUGGCCUCCACUGGGGCAUUCCAGGCAUGGUCACUGCUCCCUGAUGGCUGCUCUGUGGAUGCUGCAAUGGUGACACCGGGUCUACAGUGGGAUGGAGGUGGACCCCAGACAGAGGCACCUACACUCCCAUGGAAGACGGGAGGCUGGGCCAGUGGCCACCUCACUGACUCCCCAGCACAGAAGAGCUUUCAUACCAAGGCUCUGUCUCCCAUCUGGGCCCUCGGUGGCUUGGCUCCUGCGUCAGUGGCCCCCUUGGCUGGCAGCCUGGCUAGGACCGUCUGCAGCUGAAAAAGCAAACCUCACACUUAAUAUUUAAUCUGCUCAGCAGUUGUGGUGCCCGAGCGAAGCUCUCUGGUGCCGCUGGGUGUGUGGUUACCGAUCUCGGUGGUGGGCUUUCUCUCAGCUCGUCUUAGGAGCAUCAGCGGAAGCACGCUUCUGUACGAACUGCUCUGCCAUGGGAGAGGGUUUAAUGGACGGUCUGCCUCACUCCCCAGUAGCACAGUAGGGCAGCUCUAGGAUUCACUAACAGCUUAAUAAAUAAUAACACUGUA
Hipposideros armiger (great roundleaf bat) is the source of this 2795-nucleotide long non-coding RNA. RefSeq lists it as uncharacterized. NCBI's taxonomy places the organism in Eukaryota, Metazoa, Chordata, Mammalia, Chiroptera, Hipposideridae. The transcript has 3 exons. The record is from RefSeq and is a predicted model, not a curated record.